RNAcentral lists this ribosomal RNA (751 nucleotides) under uncultured Prevotella sp. Its description in RNAcentral is "bacterial SSU rRNA". It matches the Rfam family "Bacterial small subunit ribosomal RNA", at positions 127 to 880 of the family's 1533-position model. The record is from RNAcentral. Lineage: Bacteria; Pseudomonadati; Bacteroidota; Bacteroidia; Bacteroidales; Prevotellaceae.
UUCCCAUUACUGUGGGAUAACCUGCCGAAAGGCAGACUAAUACCGCAUAGUCUUCGAUGACGGCAUCAGAUUUGAAGUAAAGAUUUAUCGGUAAUGGAUGGGGAUGCGUCUGAUUAGCUUGUUGGCGGGGUAACGGCCCACCAAGGCAACGAUCAGUAGGGGUUCUGAGAGGAAGGUCCCCCACAUUGGAACUGAGACACGGUCCAAACUCCUACGGGAGGCAGCAGUGAGGAAUAUUGGUCAAUGGACGGAAGUCUGAACCAGCCAAGUAGCGUGCAGGAUGACGGCCCUAUGGGUUGUAAACUGCUUUUGUAUGGGGAUAAAGUUAGGGACGUGUCCCUAUUUGCAGGUACCAUACGAAUAAGGACCGGCUAAUUCCGUGCCAGCAGCCACGGUAAUACGGAAGGUCCAGGCGUUAUCCGGAUUUAUUGGGUUUAAAGGGAGCGUAGGCUGGAGAUUAAGUGUGUUGUGAAAUGUAGACGCUCAACGUCUGAAUUGCAGCGCAUACUGGUUUCCUUGAGUACGCACAACGUUGGCGGAAUUCGUCGUGUAGCGGUGAAAUGCUUAGAUAUGACGAAGAACUCCGAUUGCGAAGGCAGCUGACGGGAGCGCAACUGACGCUUAAGCUCGAAGGUGCGGGUAUCAAACAGGAUUAGAUACCCUGGUAGUCCGCACAGUAAACGAUGGAUGCCCGCUGUUGGUACCUGGUAUCAGCGGCUAAGCGAAAGCAUUAAGCAUCCCACCUGGGGAG